AUUGAACGCUGGCGGCAGGCCUAACACAUGCAAGUCGAGCGGCUGAAGGGGGCUGGUUCCUGUAUUCAGCGGCGCACGGGCAAGGAAUGCUUACGAGUCUGCCUCGUAGUGGGUGAUAACGUCCGGCAACGGGCGCUACUACCUCAUACGUCCUGAGGGAGCAAGUGGGGGUUCUUCGGACCUCACGCUAACUGAUGAGCCUAUGUCGGUUUAGCUAGUUGGCGUGGUAAAGGAGUACCAAGGCAACGAUCCGAAACUGGGCUGAGGGGAUGAGCAGUCACACUGGAACUGAGACACGGUCCAGACUACUACGGGAGGCAGCGGUGGGGAAUAUUGGACAAUGGGCGAAAGCCUGAUCCAGACAUGCCGCGUGCGGUAAGAAGGUCCUCGGAUUGUAAAGCUCUUUAAGUUGGGAGGAAGAGUAGUAAGUUAAUACCUUGCUGUCUUGACGUUACCAAAAGAAUAAGCACCGGCUAACUUCGUG
RNAcentral lists this ribosomal RNA (484 nucleotides) under uncultured bacterium. Its description in RNAcentral is "partial 16S ribosomal RNA". It matches the Rfam family "Bacterial small subunit ribosomal RNA", at positions 30 to 507 of the family's 1533-position model. The record is from RNAcentral.